RNAcentral lists this ribosomal RNA (403 nucleotides) under uncultured bacterium. RNAcentral describes it as "bacterial SSU rRNA". It matches the Rfam family "Bacterial small subunit ribosomal RNA", at positions 355 to 775 of the family's 1533-position model. The record is from RNAcentral.
UGGGGAAUAUUGGACAAUGGGCGCAAGCCUGAUCCAGCCAUGCCGCGUGAGUGAUGACGGCCUUAGGGUUGUAAAGCUCUUUCGCUCGCGACGAUAAUGACGGUAGCGAGAGAAGAAGCCCCGGCUAACUUCGUGCCAGCAGCCGCGGUAAUACGAAGGGGGCUAGCGUUGUUCGGAAUUACUGGGCGUAAAGCGCACGUAGGCGGAUUGUUAAGUCGGGGGUGAAAUCCUGAGGCUCAACCUCAGAACUGCCUUCGAUACUGGCAAUCUCGAGUCCGGAAGAGGUUGGUGGAACAGCUAGUGUAGAGGUGAAAUUCGUAGAUAUUAGCUAGAACACCAGUGGCGAAGGCGGCCAACUGGUCCGGUACUGACGCUGAGGUGCGAAAGCGUGGGGAGCAAACAG